CCUACGGGAGGCAGCAGUGGGGAAUAUUGGGCAAUGGGCGCAAGCCUGACCCAGCAACGCCGCGUGAAGGAAGAAGGCUUUCGGGUUGUAAACUUCUUUUCUCAGGGACGAAGCAAGUGACGGUACCUGAGGAAUAAGCCACGGCUAACUACGUGCCAGCAGCCGCGGUAAUAAGUAGGUGGCAAGCGUUAUCCGGAUUGACUGGGGGUAAAGGGCGUGUAGGCGGGGAUGCAAGUAAGAUGUGAAAACCACGGGCUCAACCUGUGGCCUGCUUUUGAAACUGUGUUUCGUGAGUACGAGAGAGGCAGACGGAAUUCCUAGUGUAGCGGUGAAAUGCGUAGAUAUUAGGAAGAACACCAGAGGCGAAGGCGGUCUGCUGGACAGAAACUGACGCUGAGGCGCGAAAGCGUGGGGAGCAAACAGGAUUAGAUACCCGAGUAGUC
This 443-nucleotide ribosomal RNA is filed under the name uncultured bacterium. RNAcentral's name for it is "partial 16S ribosomal RNA". It matches the Rfam family "Bacterial small subunit ribosomal RNA", at positions 338 to 795 of the family's 1533-position model. The record is from RNAcentral.